UUUUGUAGACAUUGGGGGGUCGUGAAGACUCUAUCAGUUAGUAUUUGUUCUCGAAAGGGCUUCGAUUAAUAUUGAAUAAUCAGACAUAGUACGCUAAGGUUGUAUGUCUAAAGGGAAACAGCCCAGAACAAGUGUAAAUAAGGUUCCAAAAUUAUUAUUAAGUGAAACAAAGGUAGUUUAUCUUUUAAACGUCCAGGAAAUUGGCUUAGAGGCGGCCAUUUUUUAAAGACCUCGUAACAGAGCACUGGUUUUAUUGUAGAUUAUAUAUAAUAUAAUUAUAUAUCGAGAUAAGCACCGACGAUUCCACGGAUCUAAAUAAUAUACCGAAACCUUGUCCAUGUUUAUUUAUAUAUAUGCUUGUGUAUAUAGUAUUUGUUCUCGAGAGGGCUUUGAUCAAAGUACAAGGGGAGUAUAAAUAUAUAUAUAUAUUUGUUCUCGAGAGGGCUUCGCUCAAAGUACAAGGGGAGUAUAAAUAUAUAUAUAUAUGAGUUAUAUAUAUUAGAAUGGGGUAGCGGAACAUUGGGCAAACCACAUUUUUUUUUUAUAAAAAUUUUUAGGUACCCCAAGUGAUAAUGCUGACAUGAGUAACGAUAAAGGGAUAAAUCCCUCGCCUAAAGCUUAUGGUAUUUAGUUAAAGUAACGGCCUCUAAGUUUAUAAAUAAAAACUAAAGUAUUUUCCCUAACUAGGGAUAAUGAUUUAAAGUAUUUUAGUUAACCUAAAGGAUUAAACGAUGAGCAAAUCUUUAGAAUAAAAAUAUAUAUAAAUAACAUUUUAAACAAUUUUUCUUCGUUAGACUUUCGUUAGACUUUCGUUAGACUUUCGUUAGACUUUCGUUAGACUUUCGUUAGAAAAGUGUAAAAGUGAAAAGUGUUCUGGAAAAUUGUAUUUUUUACCGCUUUACCUAAAACGUGUGGAUGUUACACACUCGUGGAAGAUAAACUAAAUAGAUGAACCAAUUUAAAGUGGUUACCGUACCUAGAUACUACCACAAGUAAGCAAGUAGAG
RNAcentral lists this ribosomal RNA (1006 nucleotides) under Dufourea karrooensis. RNAcentral's name for it is "bacterial LSU rRNA". The stretch from base 1 to 357 matches the Rfam family "Bacterial large subunit ribosomal RNA", at positions 908 to 1226 of the family's 2925-position model. The record is from RNAcentral. Lineage: Eukaryota; Fungi; Ascomycota; Lecanoromycetes; Teloschistales; Teloschistaceae.